RNAcentral lists this transfer RNA (75 nucleotides) under Conexivisphaera calida. It matches the Rfam family "tRNA". Rfam says of the family: Transfer RNA (tRNA) molecules are approximately 80 nucleotides in length. Their secondary structure includes four short double-helical elements and three loops (D, anti-codon, and T loops). Further hydrogen bonds mediate the characteristic L-shaped molecular structure. tRNAs have two regions of fundamental functional importance: the anti-codon, which is responsible for specific mRNA codon recognition, and the 3' end, to which the tRNAs corresponding amino acid is attached (by aminoacyl-tRNA synthetases). tRNAs cope with the degeneracy of the genetic code in two manners: having more than one tRNA (with a specific anti-codon) for a particular amino acid; and 'wobble' base-pairing, i.e. permitting non-standard base-pairing at the 3rd anti-codon position. RNAcentral also lists the same sequence under 3 other names. The record is from Rfam by way of RNAcentral. Lineage: Archaea; Thermoproteati; Nitrososphaerota; Conexivisphaeria; Conexivisphaerales; Conexivisphaeraceae.
GGGCCCGUAGCCCAGCCUGGAGAGGGCGCAGGCCUUCGGAGCCUGAGGUCGCCGGUUCGAACCCGGCCGGGCCCA